Molecule: ribosomal RNA, 253 nt
Filed under: uncultured bacterium
Lineage: Bacteria
Description: partial 16S ribosomal RNA
Rfam family: Bacterial small subunit ribosomal RNA
Source: RNAcentral
GACGUAGGGGGCCAGCGUUGCUCGGAAUUGCUGGGCGUAAAGGGUUCGUAGGCGGUGCGGCAAGUUGGGAGUGAAAUCUCUGGGCUUAACCCAGAGGCUGCUUCCAAAACUGCCGUGCUAGAGUGCGAGAGAGGCCAGUGGAAUUGCAGGUGUAGCGGUGAAAUGCGUAGAUAUCGGGAGGAACACCUGUGGCGAAAGCGGCGCACUGGACCAUUACUGACGCUGAUGCACGAAAGCUAGGGGAGCAAACAGG